AAGAGAUGGCGACCGGCGCACGGGUGAGUAACACGUAUCCAACCUGCCGAUAACUCCGGAAUAGCCCUUCGAAAGAAAGAUUAAUACCGGAUGGCAUACGAAUAUCGCAUGAUAUUUUUAUUAAAGAAUUUCGGUUAUCGAUGGGGAUGCGUUCCAUUAGUUUGUUGGCGGGGUAACGGCCCACCAAGACUACGAUGGAUAGGGGUUCUGAGAGGAAGGUCCCCCACAUUGGAACUGAGACACGGUCCAA
Molecule: ribosomal RNA, 250 nt
Filed under: uncultured bacterium
Lineage: Bacteria
Description: partial 16S ribosomal RNA
Rfam family: Bacterial small subunit ribosomal RNA
Source: RNAcentral